CGCGGCCUAUCAGCUUGUUGGUGGGGUAAUGGCCUACCAAGGCGACGACGGGUAGCCGGCCUGAGAGGGUGAUCGGCCACACUGGGACUGAGACACGGCCCAGACUCCUACGGGAGGCAGCAGUGGGGAAUAUUGCACAAUGGGCGAAAGCCUGACGCAGCCACGCCGCGUGAGGGAUGAAGGCUUUCGGGUCGUAAACCUCUUUCAGCAGGGACGAAAAUGACGGUACCUGCAGAAGAAGCACCGGCCAACUACGUGCCAGCAGCCGCGGUAAUACGUAGGGUGCAAGCGUUGUCCGGAAUUACUGGGCGUAAAGAGCUCGUAGGCGGUUUGUCACGUCGUCUGUGAAAUCCUCCAGCUCAACUGGGGGCGUGCAGGCGAUACGGGCAGACUUGAGUACUACAGGGGAGACUGGAAUUCCUGGUGUAGCGGUGAAAUGCGCAGAUAUCAGGAGGAACACCGGUGGCGAAGGCGGGUCUCUGGGUAGUAACUGACGCUGAGGAGCGAAAGCAUGGGGAGCAAACAGGAUUAGAUACCCUGGUAGUCCAUGCCGUAAACGGUGGGCGCUAGGUGUGGGGUCCUUCCACGGAUUCCGUGCCGUAGCUAACGCAUUAAGCGCCCCGCCUGGGGAGUACGGA
This 638-nucleotide ribosomal RNA is filed under the name uncultured Actinomycetes bacterium. RNAcentral describes it as "bacterial SSU rRNA". It matches the Rfam family "Bacterial small subunit ribosomal RNA", at positions 232 to 886 of the family's 1533-position model. Lineage: Bacteria; Bacillati; Actinomycetota; Actinomycetes. The record is from RNAcentral.